RNAcentral lists this ribosomal RNA (290 nucleotides) under uncultured bacterium. RNAcentral describes it as "partial 16S ribosomal RNA". It matches the Rfam family "Bacterial small subunit ribosomal RNA", at positions 334 to 616 of the family's 1533-position model. The record is from RNAcentral.
AGUCCCUACGGGAGGCAGCAGUGAGGAAUUUUGGACAAUGGGCGCAAGCCUGAUCCAGCUAUUCCGCGUGUGGGAUGACGGCCCUCGGGUUGUAAACCACUUUAGUAGAGAACGAAAAGGAGCUAUCGGAUAAAUAGCUCUGCUGACGGUACUCUAAGAAUAAGCACCGGCUAACUACGUGCCAGCAGCCGCGGUAAUACGUAGGGUGCGCGCGUUAAUCGGAAUUACUGGGCGCAAAGGGUGUGCAGUCGUCUGAGUAAGGCAGAUGUGAAAUCCCCGGGCUUACCCUG